GAUGAACGCUGGCGGUAUGCUUAACACAUGCAAGUCGAACGGACUCUUCGGAGUUAGUGGCGGACGGGUGAGUAACGCGUGAGAAUCUGGCUUUGGGUUCGGGACAACCACUGGAAACGGUGGCUAAUACCGGAUGUGCCGAGAGGUAAAAGGGAAAUUGCCUGAAGAUGAGCUCGCGUCUGAUUAGCUAGUUGGUGAGGUAAAGGCUCACCAAGGCAGCGAUCAGUAGCUGGUCUGAGAGGAUGACCAGCCACACUGGGACUGAGACACGGCCCAGACUCCUACGGGAGGCAGCAGUGGGGAAUUUUCCGCAAUGGGCGAAAGCCUGACGGAGCAAUACCGCGUGAGGGAAGAAGGCUCUUGGGGUGUAAACCUCUUUUCUUAGGGAAGAACAAAAUGACGGUACCUAAGGAAUCAGCAUCGGCUAACUCCGUG
Molecule: ribosomal RNA, 435 nt
Filed under: uncultured bacterium
Lineage: Bacteria
Description: partial 16S ribosomal RNA
Rfam family: Bacterial small subunit ribosomal RNA
Source: RNAcentral